UGGCUCUCUGGGGCUUUCUGUGAAGAAGGAAAAGCAAGUCCCAAGGCAGGAGUGUGCACGGCAUGUCGGAGGAGGAGCAGCGCGCGCAGGCUGAACAGCGAUGAGACAGAAGAUACGUUAUGUCAGAUGGAACUAGGAAAUACUCCUGGGUGGCCUCUGUGGAACAGCCUCACUCAACAAAUGAGGAAACUGAGACUCAGACACUUGGCGGAAACUUGACUAGGAUGUCCCCACUCCCAGGCCAGCGUGCUCACUACCACGCUCUGCGUGUCCACCAGCAUGGUGGAACGGUGCAGUCGUUCACACAGCCUGAAGCACGGGAUUAUCGUGCUAUUCAUACGUGAAACGUGAACUUCUAAGCAACCACCUUGGAAAUCUGUUCACCAGUUUCUUAAAAAAGAAAUCAAACCUACAUGCGCACUAUAGCCCACCAGUUCUACCCCCGCCCGAUAGGAUCGCGCAAUAUCAAUACUCUGUCUGGGUUGUGAAGAGGACUUGUGAGCCCAGGACUCUGCCAGAGUGAGGUUGCGGUGGACUGUUCUGGAAUCCAGAGCUUGGGGGAAUGGCUUCCUGUUCCCGUCUGUGCCGACGGCCGGGUCAGCCAGCCUCCCGUGUUCUCUGCCAGCAACGAGCUGUCAGGCUGGGCCCAACCGCACUCUUGUAAUAGCAGGUUUGGAAAGCCAUUUCCUCUCGGCCCUGCAGCCACAUCACAGGGCCCAACCAUACCCUCUGGCCUGCUUCCCCCCAUCCCUGACUGCCUCAUGGAGCCCACCAAAGAGCCUUCCUUUUCCUCAUCCUCAGAGACUCUUCCGGUACGUUCUGGGCCCAAGCUGCCCUUGACAUCCCUUGAGCCUCGUGGGCUUUCUGGCAUUCUAGGUCUGCUCCCCUGGGCCAUUGCAGCAAUCCUUUCUUCAACUUGUUUUUUAACUGCCAUUUCUGUUUUCUUCAUUUCUCCUGCCAAAAUGUCAAAUCAGGGCCUCUCCAGAUGCCAACAUCUGGUAUUAAAUUGCAAGUCUGGAUAACCUUCCAAAACAAUGUUUUCUAAGAGCCGGGGAACUUCUUUUGCUCACAUUAUUCAUCUGUUCAAAUUGUAUCAAGUUCUUUCAUUGAUUUCUCUACUGAAAUAUAUCUUUCAACACGUCAAGGCUAUCCUAUUUAAGAAAGGCCUAACGCGGGCAUCAGGCCCCAAGUUGCUUGGAGAAUAUGUGACCUGUUGUUUUGUUUUGUUCUCUCUACUUUGCCAUUAAAAAAAAAAAAUUA
Hyaena hyaena (striped hyena) is the source of this 1260-nucleotide long non-coding RNA. RefSeq lists it as uncharacterized. Lineage: Eukaryota; Metazoa; Chordata; Mammalia; Carnivora; Hyaenidae. The record is from RefSeq and is a predicted model, not a curated record. The transcript is spliced from 3 exons.